UACGAAGGGUGCAAACGUUGCUCGGAAUCAUUGGGCGUAAAGCGCACGUAGGCGGCUUCCUAAGUCGGAUGUGAAAUCCCUCGGCUCAACCGAGGACGUGCAUCCGAAACUGGGAAGCUCGAGUAUGGAAGAGGGUCGCGGAAUUCUCGGUGUAGAGGUGAAAUUCGUAGAUAUCGGGAGGAACACCAGUGGCGAAGGCGGCGACCUGGGCCAAUACUGACGCUGAGGUGCGAAAGCGUGGGGAGCAAACAGG
RNAcentral lists this ribosomal RNA (253 nucleotides) under uncultured bacterium. RNAcentral describes it as "partial 16S ribosomal RNA". It matches the Rfam family "Bacterial small subunit ribosomal RNA", at positions 524 to 776 of the family's 1533-position model. The record is from RNAcentral.